UUUGUAAUGGCAGAAUAGUGCAUUAGACUUAAGCCCUAAAUAUGAAAUUCAUUUUCUUACAAAA
This 64-nucleotide transfer RNA is filed under the name Namalycastis abiuma. Its description in RNAcentral is "tRNA-Leu". It matches the Rfam family "tRNA". From Rfam's summary of the family: Transfer RNA (tRNA) molecules are approximately 80 nucleotides in length. Their secondary structure includes four short double-helical elements and three loops (D, anti-codon, and T loops). Lineage: Eukaryota; Metazoa; Annelida; Polychaeta; Phyllodocida; Nereididae. The record is from RNAcentral.